This 29-nucleotide non-coding RNA is filed under the name Rattus norvegicus (Norway rat). The record is from RNAcentral. Lineage: Eukaryota; Metazoa; Chordata; Mammalia; Rodentia; Muridae.
UGCAUAUUGUUGGCUUAGCCCAAAUGUGU